CCCGGCAGUCGCGCUUGAAACUUCGACGUUUUUCUUGUUCAAUAUUCUCCAUCCUUGUGAGAUCGAAUAAAGUAUUUGCCCGACCAGACUGCUCGCGACAAACGCAGGCAGGCUCCGAACUAUACAAACAUUUUAGUGAGCAAAUGAAAGAAGCUGGAAAUACACCAACCCGCGUGACGAUAUGGCGAUAUUGCCCCGGGGGCAAAUUCUGCUCGUCUUCACAUUAUUGAUGGGCGACCCGGCAUGGGAAAAGUUGGACUGGAAAACAUACGGACGAGGAGCGGCCUUCGGGAUGAGCAAAAAAUCGAAACGGAAAACAAGGCGGAAACCUGACUAACCAUCAAAAGCCUGAUGAACGGGAGUGAUUGGUGGUUAACACUGCCGAUACUUCGAUCAUGCAAGACAAUCUCCGAUUUAAGAUAUUUACCGACGACAGAGAGGCAGGGGCUUCAGGGAUGAAAACGAAGGCAGAUUUGUCAAGGGUGAGAGGUCGUGAGGAUUUGCUCUCCUGGUUUGGUGAAUGAAAAAAGGGACUUGUAAUUUAAAUUUUAUAGAAACAAAGUAUUAUGGGAAGGAUUGGGGGUGAUUAGGAGAGCAUGGGGUUACACACACAUUGUUAUGAGGAUCUGAAUGGCAUAACAUCGGCAUUCUCAAAUCUAAUCACAUCGCCGAAAGAACAGAAACAAGUUACUUGUCUUCAGCCAACAUGUUACAAGGAGUCAAAUAUUCUGAAAGACAAAUAAAUCAGUACAGUUGCAAGCCGAUAUAUUUAGAUAUAUAAUCACUUCAAUUACUAAAAGCGACAAAACAAUUUCCUUACCAAUAAGAAGUAUCUGCUAAAAUUGUACAAUUUUGACGAUAUCAUUAUAUGUGUUUAUAAAUCCAAUUCCUAUACAAUAAUAAAAUGUUGUAUCUGUGUAAUA
Molecule: long non-coding RNA, 923 nt
Organism: Haliotis rubra (blacklip abalone)
Lineage: Eukaryota; Metazoa; Mollusca; Gastropoda; Lepetellida; Haliotidae
Exons: 2
Source: RefSeq, a predicted model, not a curated record